Long non-coding RNA from Anopheles gambiae (African malaria mosquito), 630 nucleotides. RefSeq lists it as uncharacterized. The record is from RefSeq and is a predicted model, not a curated record. The transcript has 2 exons. Lineage: Eukaryota; Metazoa; Arthropoda; Insecta; Diptera; Culicidae.
CUGAACAAUCGAUAUCAUUGUUCAUCCCAGAAGUGUGCAACAGUUUGCUAAUUUAUCUUCGCAAAUAUGUAAAGCUUCCGUCAACACAGCAAGAAUGGCUUACGGUGUCGGAUGCAUUCAAUGCCAAAUGGAAAUUUCCCCAUGCUAUUGGUGCCAUCGAUGGAAAGCAUGUUGCCAUAAAAGCUCCUGCCAAAAGUGGAACAGAAUAUUACAACUACAAACAGUUUUUCAGCAUUGUGUUGUUGACAGUUGCAGAUGCUGACUGCAAUUUUAUGUUUGUUGACAUUGGGUGCAAGGGUCGCAUAUCAGACAGUGGAAUUUUAAGGACCUCUCGUCUUUAUGGUAUGCUUGGAAGAAAGGAAUUAAAUAUCCCAGAGGCGGAACCGUUACAUCAAAAUUCAUCCAUCAGAGUCCCGUAUAUGCUCUUGGGAGACAAAGCAUUUGCGUUAACGGACUACUGUAUGCGACCUUUCGGUGGUGUUACAGAGAGUGGUUCAAUUGAACGUCUUUUUAACGAACGUCAUUCUCUGGCACGAAGGAUUGUUGAAAUGGCAUUUGGGAUACUCAGUGCAAGGUUUAGAGUUCUUCGGAAAACUAUGGAACUAAAUCCAGAAAUGGCCAGCUUGAUAG